UUGAAAUGUUAGUAAUCUAAAAACAAGAUCCACACUGACUGACUGUUAACUCAGACUGAAUUCAUUGAUCCGUCGCUUCAUUCCCUCCUUCUUCCUCUAAGUCUUUCAUUUAAUUCUAAGAUAUUUUGUCUCUAUUGAAACAUUUCAAUCGUUCAAACUACUCGGUAACAUAUGAACCACAUCUUUGGAGUUGUAAAAACCUGUUAUAUAUUAGUCUGAAUAUUUUAUAUUUGAUAAAAUAAUAAUUUCACCUGAAAAGUUAACUAUCGAUCCGGAUGUUAUGUGCUUUACAAGAUCAAAUGUACAUAGCGUAUACAUAAUAGAAAAAAUCGCGAUGGCGUGUAAUAUACGAAAUCUGACGAUUCGCAAUGCCGAAAAGAACGAUGCUUAUGUUUCGAGCCGCGUUGCUUGUUCACGGGCACGCGACCAUGCCACUUCCUUUCGAUCGAUUCGAUCCGAUUAAUCAAGCCCCCAUUCGAUUCGCCUAAGGCUUUCAGCCGUGUAUGCUUCACAGACAACGAAUCUCUCGACUUACCAAGCGACUCGCGACUGACAAUAGUUUCUGCGAUCCCUCGAUGCAAUUGUUUUAAGUGCAAAACUGUCGUCACGUAGGACAGGACUUAUAAAUCGUUGAAAAAACAGAGUAUUUGGCAGAAAAAAAGAAAAGAAAGAAGAUGCGCUCGAACGAAUCGUUUCCCCUACUUGAAUCUGUAAGGCAGCUAAGUAAGACGAAUAGAAAAAUUAUUCACCGUUAAACUCCAUAACAAUUUGAGAUAACGAUUCUACUGGUAAAUUUCAUUGAUUCGCUGAAAAUGGAAACAAUCGGGUGAGCUCGCGGAAAGAAGAAAACGGAAGAAACGAGAAGGAAAGACGGAUAGAUCGAACGAAAGCGAUGCCUGAUUUGAAGCGCGCAUAACUUAAGGAUCGCGCAACUCGAGAAAAGAAGCGCGAGACAAACGAGAGAAAAGGAAAGCAUUUUAGGCAACACGUGUCGGAGUACAUAGACUUCUCGUGAAAGUAGAGCCAAUGGAGAAGAAACUAAUCGGGCGGGAAGCAAUGCUGCUUCGGUCAUCCGCGUAGAAGCAUACUUGCAGUUAUAAGGUUCUAAGUAAGAGUGAACAAAGAAAUUGAAAUAAUGCGAGACGAAACGAUGGAAGAAAACCAUACCGAAAGGCCUAGGUUGUCGCACUCGUUUGAAAAACAUUCCUGCAAGAAUGCAUACAAGAAGUAGCGUACAAUCGCUGUACACUCGUUUGUUGACGCGAAUAUAAGGGGAGAAAAGUCGAUUUGAUUUGUAUAUGUACACGGUGAGCCCGAGGUUCGUGCAAGGACAGGUGCAUUUACGUAUGAAUGAGGAAGAGAUCUGGCGAAAUCGAUGCUCGUUUCUUUCUGGUUCAUAGUCAGCAGACGCGAAUAAAUCAAUGGCGGUAAUCACUUCAUUCUUGUAAACGCUAAUGUCCUCUGCGGCGAUCAUUGUUAUUAUACGAACGAACUCAAGACGGCAUGGUAUACAAGACUAAGAACAAGACCUAAAAUGGGGACAUAAUAUUUUAUAACUCAACUUUUGUACAGAAUAAAUAAAUACUUGUACUGUGGACCAAUA
Molecule: long non-coding RNA, 1603 nt
Organism: Bombus impatiens (common eastern bumble bee)
Lineage: Eukaryota; Metazoa; Arthropoda; Insecta; Hymenoptera; Apidae
Exons: 2
Source: RefSeq, a predicted model, not a curated record